This 386-nucleotide ribosomal RNA is filed under the name uncultured bacterium. RNAcentral's name for it is "bacterial SSU rRNA". It matches the Rfam family "Bacterial small subunit ribosomal RNA", at positions 29 to 402 of the family's 1533-position model. The record is from RNAcentral.
AGCGAACGUUAGCGGCGCGCCUAACACAUGCAAGUCGCACGAGAAACGGAGCAAUCCGCGGUACAGUGGCGCACGGGUGAGUAACACGUGGAUGACCUUCCCUGGAGUGGUGGAUAACCUGCCGAAAGGCGGGCUAAUACAGCAUGGGACCACGACGCUAUGGCGAUGUGGUGAAAGCGGGCCUCUAUAUAUAAGCUCGCGCUCCGGGACGGGUCCGCGUCCCANCAGCUAGUUGGUGAGGUAACGGCUCACCAAGGCAUCGACGGGUAGCUGGUCUGAGAGGAUGGCCAGCCACACUGGAACUGAGACACGGUCCAGACUCCUACGGGAGGCAGCAGUGGGGAAUCUUGCGCAAUGGGCGAAAGCCUGACGCAGCGACGCCGCGU